Molecule: transfer RNA, 65 nt
Filed under: Jatropha curcas
Lineage: Eukaryota; Viridiplantae; Streptophyta; Magnoliopsida; Malpighiales; Euphorbiaceae
Rfam family: tRNA
About the family: Transfer RNA (tRNA) molecules are approximately 80 nucleotides in length. Their secondary structure includes four short double-helical elements and three loops (D, anti-codon, and T loops). Further hydrogen bonds mediate the characteristic L-shaped molecular structure. tRNAs have two regions of fundamental functional importance: the anti-codon, which is responsible for specific mRNA codon recognition, and the 3' end, to which the tRNAs corresponding amino acid is attached (by aminoacyl-tRNA synthetases). tRNAs cope with the degeneracy of the genetic code in two manners: having more than one tRNA (with a specific anti-codon) for a particular amino acid; and 'wobble' base-pairing, i.e. permitting non-standard base-pairing at the 3rd anti-codon position.
Source: Rfam by way of RNAcentral
GCGGGGAUAGCUCAGUUGGGAGAGCGUCAGAUUGAAGAUCUAGUGUUCGAUUCACGCUCACCGCA